AGAUUAAGUUAUUAAGGGCGCACGGUGGAUGCCUUGGCACUAGAAGCCGAUGAAGGACGUUACUAACGACGAUAUGCUUUGGGGAGCUGUAAGUAAGCUUUGAUCCAGAGAUUUCCGAAUGGGGAAACCCAGCAUGAGUUAUGUCAUGUUAUCGAUAUGUGAAUACAUAGCAUAUCAGAAGGCACACCCGGAGAACUGAAACAUCUUAGUACCCGGAGGAAGAGAAAGAAAAUUCGAUUCCCUUAGUAGCGGCGAGCGAAACGGGAAGAGCCCAAACCAAAAAGCUUGCUUGUUGGGGUUGUAGGACACUCUAUACGGAGUUACAAAGGACGACAUUAGACGAAUCAUCUGGAAAGAUGAAUCAAAGAAGGUAAUAAUCCUGUAGUCGAAAAUGUUGUCUCUCUUGAGUGGAUCCUGAGUACGACGGAGCACGUGAAAUUCCGUCGGAAUCUGGGAGGACCAUCUCCUAAGGCUAAAUACUCUCUAGUGACCGAUAGUGAACCAGUACCGUGAGGGAAAGGUGAAAAGCACCCCGGAAGGGGAGUGAAAUAGAACCUGAAACCGUGUGCUUACAAGUAGUCAGAGCCCGUUAAUGGGUGAUGGCGUGCCUUUUGUAGAAUGAACCGGCGAGUUACGAUUUGAUGCAAGGUUAAGCAGUAAAUGUGGAGCCGUAGCGAAAGCGAGUCUGAAUAGGGCGUUUAGUAUUUGGUCGUAGACCCGAAACCAGGUGAUCUACCCUUGGUCAGGUUGAAGUUCAGGUAACACUGAAUGGAGGACCGAACCGACUUACGUUGAAAAGUGAGCGGAUGAACUGAGGGUAGCGGAGAAAUUCCAAUCGAACCUGGAGAUAGCUGGUUCUCUCCGAAAUAGCUUUAGGGCUAGCCUCAAGUGAUGAUUAUUGGAGGUAGAGCACUGUUUGGACGAGGGGCCCCUCUCGGGUUACCGAAUUCAGACAAACUCCGAAUGCCAAUUAAUUUAACUUGGGAGUCAGAACAUGGGUGAUAAGGUCCGUGUUCGAAAGGGAAACAGCCCAGACCACCAGCUAAGGUCCCAAAAUAUAUGUUAAGUGGAAAAGGAUGKGGCGUUGCCCAGACAACUAGGAUGUUGGCUUAGAAGMAGCCAUCAUUUAAAGMGUGCGUAAUAGCUCACUAGUCGAGUGACACUGCGCCGAAAAUGUACCGGGGCUAAACAUAUUACCGAAGCUGUGGAUUGUCCUUUGGACAAUGGUAGGAGAGCGUUCUAAGGGCG
RNAcentral lists this ribosomal RNA (1248 nucleotides) under Staphylococcus aureus. RNAcentral describes it as "bacterial LSU rRNA". It matches the Rfam family "Bacterial large subunit ribosomal RNA", at positions 1 to 1250 of the family's 2925-position model. Lineage: Bacteria; Bacillati; Bacillota; Bacilli; Caryophanales; Staphylococcaceae. The record is from RNAcentral.